CCAAGCUGAUGACUUUGCCUGAUUUUCCGAGAGGUGGGUGCAUGNCCGCCGUCAGUUCGUACCCGUAAGGCGUUCUGUUAAGUCAGAUAACGAACGAGACCUCCGUCACCAUUUGCUAUUCUUCUCUCCGGAGAGGGAGCACUAUGGUGGUACCGCCACUGUUAAAGUGGAGGAAGGAGGGGGCAACGGUAGGUCAGUAUGCCCCGAAUCUCCCGGGCUACACGCGCGCUACAAAGGGCAGGACAAUGGGCUUCGACACCGAAAGGUGGAGGCAAUCCCGAAACCUGCUCGUAAUUCGGAUUGAGGGCUGCAAUUCGCCCUCAUGAAGCUGGAAUACGUAGUAAUCGCGGGUCAACAUCCCGCGGUGAAUAUGCCCCUGCUCCUUGCGCACACCGCCCGUCAAACCACCUUAGUUGGGUCUGGACGAGGGUUUGUCUUCUGACAAGCUCGAAUCUGGGUUCAGCGAGGAGGGUUAAGUCGUAACAAGGUA
This 490-nucleotide ribosomal RNA is filed under the name uncultured archaeon. Its description in RNAcentral is "bacterial SSU rRNA". It matches the Rfam family "Archaeal small subunit ribosomal RNA", at positions 954 to 1445 of the family's 1478-position model. The record is from RNAcentral.